GACGAACGCUGGCGGCGUGCUUAACACAUGCAAGUCGAACGGAAAGGCCCUGCUUUUGUGGGGUGCUCGAGUGGCGAACGGGUGAGUAACACGUGAGUAACCUGCCCUUGACUUUGGGAUAACUUCAGGAAACUGGGGCUAAUACCGGAUAGGAGCUCCUGCUGCAUGGUGGGGGUUGGAAAGUUUCGGCGGUUGGGGAUGGACUCGCGGCUUAUCAGCUUGUUGGUGGGGUAGUGGCUUACCAAGGCUUUGACGGGUAGCCGGCCUGAGAGGGUGACCGGCCACAUUGGGACGGAGAUACGGCCCAGACUCCUACGGGAGGCAGCAGUGGGGAAUAUGGCACAAUGGGCGGAAGCCUGAUGCAGCAACGCCGCGUGCGGGAUGACGGCCUUCGGGUUGUAAACCGCUUUCGCCUGUGACGAAGCGUGAGUGACGGUAAUGGGUAAAGAAGCACCGGCUAACUACGU
RNAcentral lists this ribosomal RNA (467 nucleotides) under uncultured bacterium. RNAcentral's name for it is "partial 16S ribosomal RNA". It matches the Rfam family "Bacterial small subunit ribosomal RNA", at positions 28 to 506 of the family's 1533-position model. The record is from RNAcentral.